CUUGGUGAAUAUAGCUAUGGGGGUACACCUAGUUACAUUCCGAACCUAGAAGUUAAGCCCAUAUACGCUGAUGGUACUUGGCUGGAAGCGGCCUGGGAGAGUAUGGAUUUGCCAAGC
Molecule: ribosomal RNA, 117 nt
Filed under: Fusobacterium polymorphum
Lineage: Bacteria; Fusobacteriati; Fusobacteriota; Fusobacteriia; Fusobacteriales; Fusobacteriaceae
Also listed under: 3 other names
Source: RNAcentral